GUGUUGUAUGAAAGGAAAAGGCUAGCAGGCUAGCACUCCUCUAAACAAGAAUGGAAGAGGUACUCAGCUUGACAACAUGCAUAUGGUUAAGGCAUUGCUAUCUACUUCAUGGCCUCUAACCAUCAUUUUUU
This is a small nuclear RNA of Hippopotamus amphibius kiboko, 131 nucleotides long. Lineage: Eukaryota; Metazoa; Chordata; Mammalia; Artiodactyla; Hippopotamidae. The record is from RefSeq and is a predicted model, not a curated record.